RNAcentral lists this long non-coding RNA (2547 nucleotides) under Homo sapiens (human). RNAcentral describes it as "HSALNT0404238". The record is from RNAcentral. Lineage: Eukaryota; Metazoa; Chordata; Mammalia; Primates; Hominidae.
UGCUGUUUAAAAUGAAUGGAUCUCUAUUUCAAGAUGGCAUGUCUAGUACACUUACGUGCACCGCCUCACAAGCACACUGAAAUGACAGAAAAGGUAAGAAAAUAGAUGCAUAGACAAAAGAUUACAGAGAAAGGUGCUAUUAACAAAUGUGUUAUGUUACAGUUUCUUGGAACUUCCCAAGCAGAUGGGAAUUAUGAAACCAAAAGAAAAAUGACAUUCAUAGAAGAAGAAAUAAAAUUUGCCAAUAAGGUUAUUAAUAGAUGUUUAACAUCACUAACUGGACAUACUGCCAGUUGAAACAAUGAUGGCUGGGUGCAGUGGCUCACACCUGUAAUUCCGGCACUUUGGGAGGCUGAGGCAGGAGGACUGUUUGAGCCCAAGAGUCUGAGACCAGCCUGGGCAACAUAGCGAAACCCUGUCUCUACAAAAAAUACAAAAAUUAGCUGGGUGUGGUGGUGUCUGCCUGUAGUCUUGGCUACUCAGGAGGCUAAGGUGGGAGGAUCACUUGAGCCCAGGAGGACAAGACUGCAGUGAGCCGUGACUGUGCCACUGCAUACCAGCUUGGGCAACAGAGCAGAGCUGUUUCAAAACAAAACAAAACAAAACAGAACAGAAGAACAGAACAGAACAGAACAGGACACAAUGAGAACAUUUUUCAUCCAUCCAAUUGGCAAAUAAUUUCUAGAGCUGGUGAGAAGAUGGGGAAAUUGGAAUGUUUGGUCCCCGCUGGUGGGUGUGUUGUUGGUACAGCAUUUUUGGAUGGCAAUUUGGCAGUAUCAAGAUUUUAGGUGAAUAUACUCUUAGACCUAACAACUUCUUCUUAGAACGAACCUACAAAAAAUAGACAAGGAUAAGUGCAACGAUGUUCACUGUGGCGUGGGUUAGUAACAAUAAAACCUCCUAAACAUCUGCCAAAGGAAUAAUGGUUAAAUAAGGUAUGGCACGUGCAGUCUGUGGAAUUCCAGGCAGUUAUUAUAGACAAUGAGCUGGAUCCAUGUGAACUGAUGGGGAAGGAUGUUCCCACUACAGAAUAUAAGCACAUGAGGGCAGGGUUUUGCAUUUGCUUCCUCCUGUCUCCCUAAUGCCUAGAACAGUGUCAGACACAUAGUGCAUGCUCAGAAAGUAUUUGUCAAAUGAAUGGAUACACUUUCUAGGACACUAUGAAUUAGGACAAUGGACUGAAAAAUAAGCAGAAAAUUUAAACACACCAGUGACCACAGUGCAACUGCAACUGACGAUCAGUUUCCACCAAACUGCAACAGAGAGAGUGGCUUUGCCGGUGAGUUCUGUCAAACUACUGUGUUAUUUAAACAUUAUUUGGCCUUACAACUAAGGUGAGGCCCUUGGGCCUCUACUGAAGGCCCAAUGUGUUCAACAAGGGCUCUCCAUGCUGCCUAAGGGAACACAUCUGAUUUGCAGCCCUGAAUGAACUCUGGGACUCAUUCAUCAUGCAUGUACUUUCCUCAGAAGUUGCUCUUACCCAGCCUUGCGGGGCUGCAGCCAGAUCUCCCACGAGUGGUAAUGUAACAUGAAAACAAUGAGCCACAUCUUCAAAAUUCCAAAGGAAAAUGACCCUCAACCUAGAGUUUCCUAUCUAGGCAAGUAUUAAUCAAGUGUAAGGGCAGAAUAAUGACACUUCCAGAUGAGAGGUAUACAAAUUUACCUUACCUGCACCCAUUUACAAGAAGCUAGUGAAGGUUGUGCUCUUUAAAACAUGAUGGAAUUUACCAAGAAAGAGGAGGACUUGGCUUAGGAAAGAGAAGAUCCAGUAGAGAAGGGGAGUGACAGGAAUCUGCAGGAAAUGAUGAAGGGCAAUCCCAGGAUGUUAGCUGCACACCAGAGAUGAGGAGACAGACUAGGACCCCUGCUCCAUUAGACCUCCAGGUCCCAAACACCAGGUGAGCCAGGGCCUUGGCCUGUCUUGCCCAUGGCUGAUGAAGUGUUGUACUCUCUAUCAAACCCUGCAGUCUGGGCCAGCUGAGGACUCUCCUUGGAACCCAAAGAAGCAGUUUGUUUCCACCUACUCCCAAGAGCUGAAGAUUAUAAGCCAGAAGCAAACAAAGGCAGGCAAGGAAAUUUGAGGUUGUUGCAUCUGGAAGUAAACAUGUAGCUACUUCUUCUAAUAAAACAGAGCUCUUAGGUGCUCUGACCCUGGAGGAGAGGGAUUUCACUGAGAUGAGAAGGAUGCGUGAUGGGAUCCAUGGGCACUGGAGGCUUAUAUUUCCCUCUCAUGCCAUGCUCAAGUGAUGGGAGGGCAGAGGCAUGAGAGGGUGCUAAGGGACUAAACGCCAUGGCCACAGGAGCUCUGGCCAAGGCCCCAGGAGUCAAGAAGUGCACAGAGGGCAUGGAUGCGUUGGAAAGGGGAGGUGCUGGCCUUUUAAAGAUCAUAUGGCUUGGACAAGGAACAUGCAUGAGAGAAGUACUGGACUUUUCAUUUCCUGCCCUGGGCCUUGCCAGUGGAGGAGCACUGAGAUCUGCUAUAAUCAACACUCUUAUUGGAAGCAUUACUGUUCCGUGAAAAAUCGCCUGUGCCUGGGCUUCUCUUGC